This 13737-nucleotide long non-coding RNA is filed under the name Paramuricea clavata. Lineage: Eukaryota; Metazoa; Cnidaria; Anthozoa; Malacalcyonacea; Plexauridae. The record is from RNAcentral.
GAAGGAUAUUUCUUGUUUGAAAGUGGUAGCACCAGGGAAUUUCGCGGGAAAGAUUGAAGCUCGUGGUCUCGUGCUUUCAAUGAAAAUUUUCGUCCUAAAAACUUUCAUUAUUUUUGUAGAAUCUUAUCCCAAUAUAAGCUCUAAUCUUUGGCAAAUAGACAACAGUGUAUUUGUAACUCGUUAAAGAAAGCUGUGGAUUGCAUUUGUGGUCGAGAUUCGAUGUUUUUCAAGCUUGACUUGGCUCAAACUUUAUUUUGUAUUUCAUGCUCCAUCUUGGUAUAAAUGUUGCAUCAGCUGUAUCGAUUUGUUUAGAAAUUGCUUGGAAUUCCUCUGGUUUCUCUUGUUUAAGGUAUUUGGGAUUAUUUUUGUGUUGAUAUAUUGUGAUGUAUGAAAUAUAUGUAAAGUUAUAUUGCUUUUUAAUACAGGGUUUUAUAAUAUAGAAAUUUUGAAUUGAAGAUUCCUUUCUUACGUUUUCGUAGCGCUUUGCAUUGUGGUGAUAGUGGUAUCACUGAUAUUCAAGAUGGCUUAUUUUUUGUCCUAACCUGUGCAAGAACUUUAAAAAAACCUUGGGUCAGGUGUGUGUUAGUCAUUAUUUUUAUCUGAGAUGGGAUUGUUUAUGCGAAAUAUAUGAAAGAUAUGUCAAAUUAUAUUGCUUUAAUUAAAGUACAGCGUUUUAUAAUAUUGCCGUACGGUGGGCAAUAUUAUAAAACGCUGUACUUUAAAGCAACUGCAAAGUUUGGAAAUUGCGCGCGGAAGUUUUUCGAAAGUUUAAUAGUAAAUAUAUAGAAAGCAUAAAAAAUGUGCAUGGAAGAUCUUCCGCGCAUGGUGGAGAAAAUGCAGUCUGGCACCGUACUUAAUCGAUGAAAUCGAUAAUCGAUGAGUAUCAAUAUCAAUCAAUACCAAUCGAUAUUUAACAAUCGAUAGAUAUUGGAAAUCAAUGAAUAAUCAGGUCCACCAAGAGAUUAUGACCAACAGGUGACAUUCCAUUAAAAAGAGGUGACAGACUAUCUAAAAAAGAGCGACAAAUGACAGCUUCUGACUGGGAAAAAGCGACAAAUGUUAUGGGUCAAAAGUGACGGUGACAUUUAUUACAAUAAAACAAGCGACAAAGCAGCCACAAAAUUAGUGACAAGCGACCUACGUUACACUUUCAUCGAUUGAUCAUCAAAUUUUUAUUAAUACCGAUCUUUUUAGGGAAUUAUGGCAUUAAAACAUGAAAUAUAAGUAAAUAAAUAUACUACAGACACAGAGAACCCUAGCUACAUUUUUGUAUGCCUUUUUUGAAAACAUUGAUUUUAUAACGUAAUUCUUUGGACGAGUGUAGCCAAAGAUGUUUUGAAGUAACAUAAAAUUGUCAUAAAAUGAUUUUUUAUAAACAGUACGUAUAAUGGAUGAAAUUAUAAGUUAUAGGAUGUGCGCAGUAAAUGUGCGCAAUGCAAAACUGCGGAAUUGCCUUAACUGGCCAAGUAAAUCGAAGUAAACACACUAAAGAAAAUAUUUUAUCGCGAGGGGUCAGGACAUAUAAACAGAUUGUCAAUUAUAAAUUGUCAAUUUCUGUCCAAUGGUUUGUUGCAUUUUAUAUUUGUCAGCAUUGUUCGCUAAGUGUUCAAACACUAGAAUUUCAUCUUGAUUUUCUUAACCCUGAUACAGCACAAAAUUAAAUGCAACAGAUUAUAUUUCAAGUCUUUCAAACCUUUGUAUGCCCCAAAGGAAUUCUUGAUGAAAUCUCUGAAUUUAAAAUUAUUGUGUUGUUAUUUAAACACAUGUAUAUUAUCAAUUGACCAAUGAAAUAUCUUCAUUUGUUGUAUAUUAUUAAAAUAAAGCACCGUCCAAUCAAAGGUCUUCGCACAAAUCUGUGGUAAAUCCAUCUAACCAAAACAAGGAAUCUUCAUCCAACUCAGACAUUCUCUUGAAUGUGUGCUUCAUCGAUGGUAACAUCUGUGCACACUACACAGGCUAGGUUUGAGAAGGUUUAUUUUUUAAAAGAUACUUUUAAUCUUAAUAUUUUCACAUUAACAUAUUAAUAUCCUGUGUAAUAAGGAAACAGAACACUUCUGGGCUGGAACAAGUUGACAUCUUGCUGAUGUUUGACUUCUUGCUGAACAGUGUGGCAAUCAAUAUGGCGUAUAUAAAUACAGGGAAUUUUUAAAAUUUUGUUUGUAUAAAUGGGCUAAAGAAACUCAUCAAAUAUUCAGAAAACAGACCUUUAAAUGUUUGCCAAGUAUUGAUUGGGAUUGCAUUAUAUAAUAUAUGUAAAGUAUUCAAUUGUGCACAGGUAUUUUGGUAAUUCAUAAAUUGCAGGUUUUGACACUGAGCUAUAUAUUUCAUACCUAAUUUUAAUACAUAACUUCAAUAAAACCUGGGAUGGGCUCCAUGUGCUAAAAUGUUCCAAUUCAUAUAUAAACAAUAUUUAACCCGUUAAGCGCCAGUACUCUCCCCUUGACGAGUAAAAUCGAGUAAAAUAGUCUGGCGUUAGACAGAGUAAAAUACUAAAGUAGGGUGCAUUCCUGGUGCAAUGCAACUCAAUGGGUUAAUUUCAAGGGUGGGUAGUAGCCAAGUAGUUGUAGUUCGCUACUGUAGCGAACUACAAUUUUCAAGUAGCCAGUAGUUUUUGACUACUUUUUCAAAACAGUAGCUGUAGUUAUAGCGAACUACAUUUUGCCUAAAAGUAGCCAAGUAGUUGACUACUUUUCAAACAGCAAAUCGCUAUUCGCUACUUUUUAAAAUUGUUAGCAACUUGAUAGAAUAGAAUGUAAUUAAGACACAGUUUACUUAAAAUCAAUGCUCAAUUUGCAUGAAUAAAGUAUGCCGUGCAACUGUUCAAACUGUGCAAGUGCAUACCGUCUUAUUUACUCGCGUAAGUCGAUUUGUUAUAGGUCACAUUACAGCCUGCAUGGGCUAUGGUAGAUGUUCCAAAUACAGUAAAAUUGAAAAAUAAUUGAGUAGCGAAAUAGUUCGCUACAUUUUUUAAGCAGUAGCUGUAGUCAGUAGCGAACUACUUUUGUUCAAAAGUAGCAGUAGUUGUAGCUGACUACAUAUUUCAGAAGUAGCUGUAGUUAUAGCGAACUACAAAAAUUUUGUAGUCAACCCACCCUUGGUUAAUUUCAAAUAAAGGAAAGCUACUUUUCCCCCACUUAGCCAGGUAAUAGGAACAGGGUGCAAUUGUGACCAGUGAGCCAGAUGAAGUAAAAACAAUGAAGUUCAUAUGUUCAUAAAUUUUUGAAAAAUGUUCCUAAGAGAGGUUGCUAAGCCUAGGUUGUGCCCCCCCCCUCCGCCCCCUUCAUUUGGCAAAAGAAAACCGUAAAAUAUGUUUUCAGAUAUCAAAAGUAAUUAUUUUGAUUAGAGAAAGGGUUUUCAACAAUUUUCAGAAAGUUUGGACUAGUUUUACAUGGUUUUUCAAUUUUUCAAUUCUUUUGAUGAGAGGAAAGGUUUUCGACAACUUUCUGAAAGUUUGGAGUAGAGGACUCAGGACUGAAAUAGACAUGAUGGAUCUUUGUACAAGUCUACAACCUAAUAAUAAUACAUAGACAGUGCAAAGUCUCUGAAGCCAUUACUCUGAAGCCAUUACUCCCACCCCCUCGCUUUCUCUGUGGGGCGACAAACUGUCACAAAAAAGAAGGGAUUAGGAUUUUUGUAAUAAUUGGGUUGAUAUAUAGAGGGUGAACAAACAUGAACACAAAACAUGAGCAUUUUAGGAGGUCUUUAAAGCACACAUAAUUUCCUUGCUGCAGGGAAAAAUCUUUGCAAGUGGAAACACUCAUCAGUGAUUUCAAUAUGUUCAAUACAGAGAAUGAAUGUGUUUUGAAAAAGAAAAUUUCUUGUUUGAAAGUGGUAGCACCAGGAAAUUUCGCGGGAAAGAUUGAAGCUUGUGCCCUCGUGCUUUCAACGAAAAUUUUCGUCCUAAAACUUUCAUUAUUUUUGUAGAAUCUUAUUCCAAUAUAAGCUCUAAUCUUUGCCAAAUGGACAACAACAUGUUUGUAACAACUUAAAGAAAGCUGUGGAUUGCAUUUGUGGUCGAGAUUCGAUGUUUUUCAAGCUUGACUUGGCUCAAACUUUAUGUUGUAUUUCAUACUCCAUCUUGGUAUAAAUGUUGCAUCAGCUGUAUCAAUUUGGUUAGAAUUUGCUUGGAAUACCUCUGGUUUCUCUUCUUUAAGGUAUUUGGGAUUAUUUUUGCGUUGAUAUAUUGUGAUGUAUGAAAUAUAUGUAAAGUUAUAUUGCUUUUUAAUACAGGGUUUUAUAAUUAGGGGUGCACCGGAACUCAGUUCCGGCCGGUUAGUUCUGGCCGGAACCCCGAUUUUUUAGAGUUCCGGUUCCGGCCGGAACUAGUAAAAAAAGCAUGGCCGGAACCGGAACUCUGUCGUUUUCAGGGAGAUAGAAUAUCAAACGUUUUUGUGUCUAACAACAGGUCACAGUAGGAAGAAAGUUGGACUACGCAAGGGAAAUGUACACUACUAACACUUCAUUAUGACGUUUAACGUUUGUCAGUCUUUUUAUUCUGACAUUUGCGAACUCUCUACUUGAUGAUUUGAAGUGUCUGCUUGUCUGGCAGCGGACAAAGUAACAUAUGACUAUAUAUGGUUUAAUAAAUUAGUUCCGGUUCCGGCCGGAACUUAAAAAACCGGUUCCGGUGCAUCCCUAUUUAUAAUAUAGAAAUUUUGAAUUGAGGAUUCCCUUUCUUACGUUUUCGUAGCGCUUUGCAUUGCUUUGCUUUGCAUAUCACUGAUAUUCAAGAUGGCUUAUUUUUUGUCCUAACCUGUGCAAGAACUUUAAAAAAAACUAGGGUCAGGUGUGUGUUAGUCAUUAUUUUUAUUCGAGGCUGGUAUCUUUAGCAGUGAUUAGAGAGGUGUGCAUCGGAUCAGAUUGGACGUUUAUAAUCCGACAAUUGUCUAAUGUUUAAAAUCCGAUCUGAAAUUGUCUAAUCCGAAUCGGAUCCGAAUUUUGAUAAAGAAUUCCGAUCCGAAGAAUUCUUUAAUAAAAUAAAUUUCUCAUUCAAGUUGAAAUAUUUCAUUAACUUAACCAAAUAAAUAUAAAAGCAAGAAAUAGAUGUCAAGAAGCUGACGAAGUGACGUCCAAUUGAAGUAUCGAGCAAAUAAUGCAGUGACAAUCAUGAUGAUGCUUUUAUAAAUGCAUAGAUUAAUUUUAUUUCAAAUAUCGAAGUUUGAUCUGACCACGAAACAACUUCAUCAAUCCGAUCUGAAAUUGAAUAUUUUAGUUCCAAAAUCCGAAUGAAUCUGUUUCGGAUUGGAAUGGCACACCUCUUCAACUUUUGAAAUUCAACUAUUUUUGCCUCUGCAAAUAAUUGCUGAAACCUUUCAAUAAUUUUAGAGUUUGCCUCAGCAAUUUUUUUUGCUGAGGCACGCAAAGAAAUCACCUUAAAUAACUUUGGCAAUUACUUGGGCACCUUUUGGCAUUCACAUCUGCAGUUGUAAUUUAAGUAAAGUACAUACAGAAAUUACGACCGUAGAUUCUGAGACUUCUGAUGUUUGACAAUUUGUUGUUAUUUUACAAAUUCCUGAUUCAAAAUGUUUUUAAAAAGUUGGUGGUAAUUUACAACCAAUUGUAUAAAAAAAUGAACUUGAGUCUUGACAGUAAAAUCACACGACAGUCUAAAAGAUAAAAAACAAAGUUUCUCGACAUAUUGACAUAUUGUCUUUAAACCAUCACGAUUGUUCUUUAUUUCUCAAUAAAUGCUCAAAAGCUCAAAUUUAAAUAUUUUGUAAAGUAGCUAUGAAUGAAUCUUCUGUUGUUCACCCGGCGUCGAUGACAACAAUUCGAACAAAGAAGUGAUAUAAAAAACUAAUGCUGUAGUUUGUAUAUUUAAGAAGAAAAAAACGAAAACUUGUCCCUUUUCACGCUAAUUGUAUCAAAAUAAUUAUAAACUUUUACAUCAAUUACUUUAUAUUAUUUAAAAAGUGACAUACAUGACAGAUUGGUUUUUAUAUAUCAAAAUGAGAUAUAUUUUUAGUUUUUUUUACCUUGUAAAUGUCCUAAAUCUUGUGCUUGUGCAUGACAACCCAUUCUGGCAGACCUAUAAGGCAGCGGUUUUUACCUUUCAAUACUUCAUUUUGGUAGGUCUUUCUGGUGUAAAUUGGAUAUUUAUUGUUUUAUAAGUUAAAUCCUUUGCAAAAAUUUUCCAGAACUAGAAAUUAAUUCUAAACAAUACAAUAGUCCCAAAAUAAUACUUUACAGAGAAAAGACGCAGGCGGUGGACCAGGGUAAAAUCUGGUACUAGACAGAGUAAAAUAAAAAGGCUCAUUUGGGUACAUUGUAGUUCAGGGCUCGAAAUAAUGCCGAUUAAUGAUCAACAGGAAAUUGUUUUCGAUCAGCGAGGAAGCAAUGUUGCUGUUCAUCUUGAUCGGCAAAAAAUAUAUUUGACGAUUGUCUAAAAAACAUGUUUACCUGUAUCUGGUAAAAGACAAAUAAAAGUAAUUUCAAAAACUCAUUGAUAAUUCAUGAGGCAAACACAAAGAAAAAUCGUAAGCAUGUCAUAUCUUUAUAUGUGAGAGAGAUUUACUUUGAUUAACAUAAACUUUAACUUUGAUUUUCUCAACUUACACAAUAUAUUUCUUGAAAGUUACUUUACCAAUGAACUUACUAGAUCAAUCGUUUUUGAGGCAAUUUAAAACAUUCACAGUGUGUGUUUUAACAGAAUACUUGGGACAGUGGCAUAACUACUAUGGGUUUGGACUGGGCGAACCCUGGGGGCCCCCAACCCCAAUGGGAGAAAUGCGGGCAAUAACAUUGGCAGGGUCUCUGAUAUGUUAGAAUGUCGUUUUCUAACCAUCGGAAUUCCGGAAAAUCUCUCCCCAUUUGCCAGUUGAUAACAUAUUGUUUUCCUCUCGCCUGAGGGAGACAGCCAAAUUUCGUCACACUCAUGUGAUAUGCUCUCAACCAAUAAAACACUAGAAAAAUGUGACUUUGACUAUUGGUAUAUAAUAAUUAUAACUUAUUUUCCGAGACCGAGGGUAUGAAUAAUUGCCCGGUUAUUGCAGUGAACUUAAUUUGAAACAAACACUGGGUAAAUAGAACACUGUAAAUGUUUAGUAAAAGGUUAAAAAAAAAGUGAACUUUGGAACUUCACGAUUGACACACAUGCAUAUUGCACCCAUUUUAUUAUUGAUGGUCAAUAAAUGUUUGAUUGUGGAACGAUUGCUGACCAAUAAUGUGUGACCAAUAAUGUGACCAAUCGGCAAACAAAUAGAUAAAUUGAACUUUGACACUAACUAUAUAACAAUAAGUUUUAGUGCUUAGUUUAUAAUGCUGCUGGGUUUCUUGCUUUUGUGUGAAAAAUGCAAAAAUUGUUGCAGAUAGUCAAGGAAAUUUUCUUUCUUUUGAAACAAUGAUUAUGUUAUGAAAAGUUAAUUUAAAAACUUAUUAGUUGGUAGACUUGUCUGAUAUGUCUUGAUUUGCACUCCUUUUUAAAUAGGUUAAGCAACAGCCAUGUUUUGUUUACAUUUAUGCAACUUUGCAAAAUUAUGUGCGACCUUGUACCGACAAGUGACUUUUCUCCCCAAAUGGUAAGGACCCUGGGUAAAGGGUCCUUCCCUGGAGCAGGAUCUUUCUCCUUUCAGGGGAAACACCCUGGGUAAGACAUGUGCAGGUGCACACAGACCAAAUUUUUGCAAAAACUUGCUUAUUGUUUGAUCGUUCCCAUCGCAAUUCAGGGCAAGUUGCAUCGCAAUUCAGGGCAAGUUGGAACAAGUUUACUUGCGAUGACUUGUGUUCUCCUUUGAUCAGGGCUUGACUCCAAAGGUUGAUAACAUUUUUAUAUUUAUUUUCAUUUCGACUAUAUUUCAGAUGUCAUCUGGAUAAACUAGUUGGGUUAUACAUUGUAUAAACAUAAAAAUGUUAUCAACCAUUGGAGUUAUACUUGUUUUGUAUUUUGUUAAAAUAUUCAGGGCUCUAUAAUAUUGAGAUUUUGAAUUGGUUUUAAAAUUUAAACAAAAUCCAUUGUUUGGUUAAGUAACACUGUCCUUUUGAUGAGUAAAAUCAUCUGGCAUUAGACAGGGGAAAUUAAAAAGUAGGGCACAUUUUGUUGCAUUGCAGUUCAAUGUGUUAACAAGAUACAUUGCCACUUUUCUCUUAAUUUGAGUAAAAUGAUCUGGCAUCAGACAUUUGGUUACUUUGCAGCUUAAUGAGUUAAUCUUAUUUUUCUUAGAGAACAGCAAUUCAACUCUAUGGCUUACCAAAGAAACUAUACACCAGCAAUGUGUACAAGGCAAUUGAAUGUAUCGUUGGAAAUUUUUCUCUGAGAUUAUGCAGUCAUGUUGACAUGUGUUAGUUCAGUUUGAUUUGCAGAGGAACUACUUGAAAGGUCAGUUCUAAAAAAUCAUGUGCGCUGUUGUUUGCAAAUGAACAACAUUUUUCAAUUGAUGUUUUUAUCACUUGAAAUUGUUUCGAUUAAAAUAAUGGUUUGGACAAUUUUCAGAAAGUUUAGAGUAGGCUGGGGCACUUUUACAUGUUUUCAAAAAUAUCCUGUGGUCUCCGCUUUGAUUAGCAUAGGAUUGCCUCUGCCCAAAAUAUUCCAAUUCAUAUUUUUAUCAUGCUAAAGUAAUUGUUUUGAUUAAAAGAACAGUUUUGAACAAUUCUUGGAAAGUUUGAAAUAGCUUGGUGCACUUUCAAAAAUUUCCUGUGACUGCCUUUGGUUAGCCUCUGUUUACUGUUUGCAAAUGACCAACUUUUUCAACUCGUGUUUUUAUCACAUUGAAUGUAAUCGUUUUGUUUGAUUAACCUAUUGAGUCACAUUGUGCCCUUAUGCACCCUACUUUAUUAUUUUACUCUGUCUAAUGCCAGACGACUUUACUCGUCAAGGGGAGAGCGCUGGCGCUUAAUGGGUUAAAAGUAGGCUGUUGCGGUAUUUGAAAAAACCCGAAAUAUAUCGAUAUUUUUUUGCAAUUGUAUUUUGCUUAAUUUUAUGCAAAAUUUGCUUAAUUUUAUGCAAAAGUUUCUGUUUUCAAAUGAUGCCAAACAGCCAUGAUAUAACAUGCAGCUUUGACUCAUCGGGUGUGUGAUAUUUUCAAUAAAGUGUGAGGCCAGUGAUCAGUAGUCUGUGAAAUGUCCGCUUUAAGAAUUGAAAAUGCAUAUUACUUAUUAGCAUUGAUUAUCGCACCGGAUGAAUCAUGCAUGAUAUUUUUGACCGGGAAAUUGUUUCAAAACAUUUUAUUCAACUGCGAAUUUGAAACAAAGGUCGUCCUAGUAUCUCACCAGACAAACAAUGUCCAAUGAGGUUAGUCUUUGUUUUUCUAAAACAUUUGUAAUCCAACAACGUAUAAAGAAACACACGUUUUAGAUCUCGCUCUAACCUUAAUUUACGGAUUUUACCGUGGAGUUAACACAUUGAUCGUCUUUGUCCUUCUGAAAUAACUCCAAUCAGCGCUUGAAAAAGCUUGAGAUGACUUUUAAAUAUACAAACGUAAACAUGAUAUCGAUAAUAGCAAAAAAUAUCAAUAUUUCGAUAUAUCGAAAAUUUCAAUAUCGAGUAAUCAGUAUUUAUAAAAAAAAGAUAAUUAUUAGUAUAUCGAUAUACUGCAACAGCCUAGUUAAAAGGUGGAAAAAUAUGCUUGGUCACCGUGGGGAUCGGACCUACAAGAAUACCAGCCCAAUGCUGUGCCAACUGAGCUACAGGGCCUCAGAGGGGGGGGGGGGGGGCAAAUUGCCCCGGGCCCCGAGUUGCUGGGGGCCCCUGAAAAAUUUUUGUUGGGCCCCCAGCCUUUUUUGUGUGUUAAAUAUUUCCGCGCAAAGGACAAGAGAUCUGUUUUUGUUUUUUGGGCUAAGUACCGAAUUUUGGCAUGAAAAAAUGAGAUAAAGUCCCUCGAAAGCAAUUGUAACGUACUCGUCCGGAAAAAUUUUGUACUCCGGAAAAAAUUUUUGACCCCUAAAUGGUACACUGACCGAAAAUUUUUUUGCCGGGGGGGGGAGGUUCUCCGGAAAAAAUUUGCCCUGGGCCCCCGCCAACCUUGCGGCGGCCCUGCUGAGCUAUAUCUGGUCACCUGAGGGGCUGGUAUUCCGAAGGUGGUAGGUCCGAUUACCACCUUGGCCAGGCAUAUUUUUCAAGGUUGCCCAGUGUGGAUAUACACUCAGAGUAACAUCACAAACAUCAUAUUCACCUGAGUACACAACAUCAACACAGAAAAAACUUCAAAGUAAUUGUUAUAAUUAAAGGUGAUCUACAGUCCGUAUAUUGUUUACAUUUUUGUGUCCAAAAUAUUGAGCUUUAUUCGACAAUUAUUUAUAUUUUCAAGCUUCUAGAGUAUAAUAAAUGAUCAAGAAACAACAAUCAGGCUUUUCAAAAACUCAAAACAUAGUUAAACUGUUUGUAUCAUAAAAAGUGGGCUCAUUUGUGCACAUGCGCAGAUCGGACUGUAGAUCACCUUUAAAAGAACAGUUUUUAGUGCAAAGUUGACGAAGUCAAGUUUGUACUAUUGUGAUGGGGUGCAAGGCAUUACGUCAUUACGUGACUCAACAAUGGAUCGAUGGAUGGAUGUAUAGUGUAAACAAUUCAAUCCGGGGGGAGUGCUUGCAAAUUAUUUUCGUAGCUUUGCAACGUUCAGCCAGCAUAUAUAUUAAAAAAUUUUCAAAUAAGAUUUUAUAUUUUUAUUCACAACGACAGAUGUUUUUCUGAUUUACAUUAUCUAGCAUUUAGAGGAACAAUCAUAAAUUAAAUAUCAAUUUUAAGAUAUGAAUGGCUAAUAUGUGUAGGUACUUUCUCGCCCUCAGUGCAACAAAAUCAAAUGAAACAACACACUUGCUCUGCACUGCGCCAAUUUUAAUAUGGUGGUGUCGGAGGAGUUGCAGUACAAUGUUGUGUAUAGAACGGGUCUAUCAUUACUAUCAAAGUCAAAGAUGCAGUCACUUUUAACCUUGUUUUUGUGCUUAUAUUAUCUAACAAAGAAACAGAGUGAUACAGAAUAUAAAAAAGUGCCUGUGGAGUGUGGUCAUGAUAGUUUUAAUAUAAAUUAGCUUACACAUUUUAUUAAAAAUAACUCAAUACCGUAUACUACCUAUAAGGGUUGUAUAAGUAUAAACAACUUGCAUCUUAUAUUGCCAUUUUGUUGUAACUGUAAAAUUUUACUCUGGAGCACAGGCAUGCAAAAAGAGACUAUGGUUCUUAAUUCUUUAAUGUUUAUAUUAAAUAACGAUGGUAGUUAAUGUCAUGAUCACAGACACAGGCUCUGACAACAGGCGAAUCUUACUGCAUUUAUAACAAAACCUGAUUAAAUUAUUAUAUAAGACGUACUUAGUUAUUGUUAUUUUGUCUUGAAUAUUAAGCCAUUCAACCCAAGCAUAUGCGUAAACAUCUGAUCAAACUCUAUACACUGUCAAAAUGCCAAUGUAGUACACAAAGUAGUUAAAUGUAGUUCUAUAAUUAGCGCUGCAAAGCUUAUACAUUUCAAUCACGCAACACAAAUAUUUUAGCGAUUGUGAUUUGUUCUAGAGAUCUGAGCACUGUAUGUGCUGCCUCUGAUGUGCUGUUUUAGCAUGAACAUAUUUGAUUUUUAAAUUGGGCAAUUGAUUUUAAAUUAAGGAAAUUGAAGGCUCAUGCAUUAUAUUUUCUAAUGAUCGAUAUAGUCAUGUUUAUUCAAUAUAGUCUGCAUAUUAUAUAUGCCAAGUCUGCAAUUUCAGUAAGCAGCUUUAUAUACAUUCUGCCUUUUAUACAUUUUCUGCAGUCUACACUAUAGUUUAUACUGACUCUGUAUGCUAUUUGUCAUUAUAAAAUUCAUUAAUAAUUCAUGAGGAAACAAAUGUUUAAUCAAUGUUUGUAAAUCGCAUAAAGAUUUGUCCUGAUUAACAUAAACUUCAGCUUUGAUUUUCUCGCCUUAGACAAUGCAUGUUUAUUUUUAAAUUACUUCGCCAAUGAACUCAUAAGAUCGGUUGUUUUAUAAUUGCGAUAAAACAUUCGCAUCUCGCCUUCGGCUUGUGUUUGUAUAUCAGAUAAAAAAUGUCUAGUACUUAUGUUCCAUUAGUAUGUGUGAGAAAAUUAUAUUUCUGGAAAUGUAAACAGCAUACUAAAGUAAUCAAUUAAAAUUCUGUAGUAUAUACAGACUAUAAAAGUAUAAUAAUACAGACCAUGCACGAUAAAGGGUGGAUGUGGGGCCUAUAUAUAGACCCCUUAUAGUGUGCACACCCCUUAUAGUGCUUUCUGGUCAGUUGUCAUAUCAACUUUGCACUAUCCUUGGGAUCUCUGAGUUGACAAUUAUCAGAUGGUUCACAUUAUUUUCUAGUUAUAGACUUAUUAUAAUUGUAGGAAAAAGUGGUUGAAUCAAGCAGCAAGAAUAAUAAUCUUAACUAUGAGAUCAUGUACACAACAUAGUUUCAGUUCUUUUAAAACCGUCUUUGAACUUUUUGUUCAAGCCUAGUGACUUAUUUCAGUAGAUGAAAAUCAUCCCACCUUUUAUCCUGUCCUGACAAACUGUGAUCAUGUGAACAGCACUGUUAGUCAUUAAGUUGAUUUUCACCGUAAUUUACAUACUUUACCAACUCUGUCUAACGUCAGACAAUUUUAUUAAUCAGGGGGAGCACUGCAGUUAGUGAGUAAUUAGAAGCAUGGGCAGUCUCGUUAUGAAGCAUAAAAUCGUCUUGCGUUGGACAGUAAAAAACUGAGUAGAGUAUGCUUCAUGGUACAGCACAACAAAAUGGUUUAAAUUUUAUAUCUGAAUUAAUGAUUGUUUUGCUUUGUUUUACAGAUCAUUACUGAACAUGGUGAUGGAAUAGUAAUUUAUAAAAUGUCAUGUUACCAAGAUAAGGCACUUCAAGGAGCAAUAUACAUGGGGAAAUAUCUUUAUUUUCCAACAAUGACAAUACAUCAAAGACAGUAAGAUCACAAAGCCAUGAAUUUGAAGAAAAUGUACCAAAUGACAAAGACGAUGAUGAAAUUGGAUGCUUGAGACGAAAUGAAAGGAUCGAAUGUUAUGGUCAGUAAUGGAUAUUUGUGGUUAUACUAAAUGGAUACAAAGAGACCAUGAUGGGUAAAUAUGGCCCUGUAAUGGUAGUCAGUUAAUGGAUAUACAAAGGCCACAGAAAUGUCUACUUUCAGGUGAUGGUUUUUUCUUGUUUGCCUGCGAACAGGCUGUAGAUAUGUAGAUACUUGUACCCAGGCCAUUGUUUGUUUUGUUCUGGGUACAAUGAAGUCGGUGAAGGCUAUUUCAGAUACGGUAGAGCACCUUGUCCCUAGCCCUUCAUCGAUGCGGCUGUUAAUUGAAUAUGGCGCCAAGCUAAGGAGUGCAGUUUAAUGCAGUUUAUAUUCCAUAUUUUCUACUGUUUUUGACGGUUUUUUGGUUGGUAGAACUUAUAUAUUGUGAAAUGUCAGAUAUGUUACAAUUUAUCUGAAAAAAAUAUUUUCUAACAGAAUUUUUCUCUAACAUAAUUUAACAUACUUUUAAAGUUGAUGUAUACUGCAUGAGUGAGUGAUGGUUGUGACUGAGUUGUUUAUUUAACAAUGAAAUUUAGAGUAUUUUGCUCAAGUUGGCAAGCUAUGAGCCUACAAUUAAAUACUACUUUGCAUGAUCAAGAUGAUAUUAUUUAAUUUAUUUGAGCAGGACGAUACAUGCCAAUGUGGUCACAAUGCAUUAUAAAUUGACAACAUUUUAUUAGCAGUUUUAGAAAGCUAAUCUGUCAGACGAUAUUUUAUCAUUAUUAUUAUAUUUAAAUUUGUGCAGGAUACCCACAUCACCGAAGUGUUUUUCAGUGGGGUCCUGCAUUAUAAAUUUCAACUUCAAUACAUAUAUAUUACAAAAUAAC